GUAGGUGAACCUGCGGAAGGAUCAUUAUUACGUAUCCAACGUAUAAACCAAUCGUGAACUGUCUGCCGCUCAGGCCAGUAAGAGUUAACGCUCUUGCUGAGUUGGGAAUCUGCUUUUGUUAAUGUUUGAGGCCAUGCACUCUAAUCCGUAAAACGAUUAGACUUUCUCCUAGUGAUGAAGGAGUGAAGCUUGUGUGACUCUUACGCCUUGCGCAAAGCACUUGUGUUUUGUGCGAGGGACCAGAUUCCCC
This 250-nucleotide unclassified non-coding RNA is filed under the name plant metagenome. RNAcentral's name for it is "partial contains small subunit ribosomal RNA, internal transcribed spacer 1, and 5.8S ribosomal RNA". The record is from RNAcentral.